Molecule: RNA transcript, 3206 nt
Organism: Malaya genurostris
Lineage: Eukaryota; Metazoa; Arthropoda; Insecta; Diptera; Culicidae
Gene: Caper
Gene name: RNA-binding protein 39
Exons: 3
Source: RefSeq, a predicted model, not a curated record
CUGCAUAAAGAAAAAGAAACCUUCCAGAAUAAACCAUCAGCAGCGACUGUACGUGCACGAUAAAUUCAGUGCUAAAACUUUAUCAAAAGAGUUGUAAAUCUUUCUUGAACUAUUGUCAAUUUAUUCAACACUACUACUGGUUAAUCCGGUGAGCAAAUUCCACUAUCAGUGACCCGUUGAUCGGCAUGAAAAGCGGAUUUUCUGAGCUAGACUAUCAUCUACAUAAUCCAAAAAUUUCGGACAAGAUGGCGGCCGAGGAGUUUGAUGUCGAAGAGCUUCUCGAGGCACCGUACAGAAAGGAGGUGAGUAAUCCCAGCGAUCGGAAAUGGGUGAUGAGGGUUGUCAUGGUACGAUUUCUGUUUAAAUGUUCAGUAUUUGAAUUGCGCUGAUUUGUUUCUAUGGUCAGUUUUUAGGUGCGCAAAAUAUAUGCUUGCUGCACAAAGUAGAACCAUUAUUCGUUUUGCAUUUUUUUUUUUUGUCAUGUGAACUGUACUUCCGCAAUUCAAAGAAGGUCACUUCGAGAAGGAGCAAAACAGAAAAUCAUCACGAGUCGGCUAAUAUGCUAAUCGUUUUCAGGUUUGACCAUAGAGAUUAAUUUAGGAUAAUUUGCUGUUACGUAAAAGCUAGACUAGAGGUAACGGCGACAAACAAAAAAAAAUCAAGUUGGCGAUUUGUCUGCCGGAAAUGAAACGCUUGUCUUGUUUUCCAUUAGUUUUGUUACUGUUCUGAAUCAAGCCACAGUUAGGCUGGCAGAGAUAGCAAAUUAUCUUGAUUGUCUGGUCAACCAGCAGAUUGAAAUCAAACUCACGAAUCUGAUGUAGCGCUUUGCUCUAGAAUCUACACUUAUUGGUUCGAUGAAUGUAUUUGAGAUAUAAACAGUGUUAUCCUAUUUUAGAUCGUGUCGAUGGGAUCCAAACGAAGCCUAGGCACUGCUAAAAUCUUUCCAAAGGCAAGUUGAAACAGUUUCUUUUUGACUUUUCUUCGUAUUACAUUGUUCAUCACAAUGUAGCACAAUAAAAUUGUAUGUCCUUUCCCAUGUGUAAUGGAAGCCGUUUCUCUAAUUGACGCGCGAGUUGUUGCACUUGUAAUAAUCAAGCAAAUGUCUCCUUAUUUGUCCAGGUGUCGAUAGUAAAAUGCAAAAACAAUAGGCACAUUUGCACCCAACAGAACAGCUUCUUUCUGUAAAAAAAAAUCACAUCCAGAAAAGAUCUACUAAUGCGGGUGUCAACACGAUUUUUAGAUCGAAGAAGUGCUCGUCUUUUACCCCACUGGAAACUGCCGUGCACGAGAGGCACAGAUAGAUAAAAGCCGAGUAUGCCGAAAAAGAGCAAAGUAAUGACCAACCUAAAUAUGCCACCGGAUUUGAGUCUUGUAUACGGUUCUGAACGGUGAUGAAUGGGUUACCGGUUACCGAGAAUGGCCGAUUCAAGCAUGGUUGCAUCUUUCGUUUUAGAUCCCUCCACAUCCGAUCCGGUUUGGUGUCGACGAUCAUCGUUUUACAUCAUUGUCCAAAACAAAGAACCACUCAGCUCUCUUUGCAGGUUGUUACACCAUCGGUCGUUUGCUGCCUCUUAUCUUCCCUCGUCUUAAUUUCGAACGUGUGUGCGUGUGUUUUUUUUUGUAAGGUCAUAAUGAUUGCUUUUUUGGGUCUCUUCUAGGUGCCAAUGGCCAAUCAGCAAAGCCAGUUCGUCAUCGUCGCCUUUCUCUUGGGUUUAUUAGUUUUUAUACACAAAAUAGCAUCCAUACUUGAAUUGGCUCGAAUAAAACCGGGCCCUUCUAUUCGUUGUUAGGUUUGCGACCAACCUUCUUUUUGGGUCAUGAUUGCAGCAUAGUUUCAUCUAUUGUGUGGGAUAGAGUGACGGCACCAGCCGUCUCACAGGUCACUUAAAUAGUAAUACCGGUCUUUUUAUUUGUAUUACGUUACCAGUCGGUACAUGCCGAAGAUUGCACAUGAGAAUGACUUUUGAGACGGAACAAGAAUUGCUUAUCCCAACGGUAACGGAAGCCAACGGCUGCAUUGUGACCUGAGAAGAAACUAGGAAGCAAACCUUAUUCUACACUCAUCAAACUCUAGCUAUGAAACGUUUUCAAAGGCAAUGUUUUCCCUUACAGAUCGCUUGCUUAAAAAGCAUUCAUUUUGUGAGCAUAUUCCAAGCCGAAAGCGUUCAAUAGAAUCGGUAACUGGCUGCAACAAGGUAGAAUACUUGAAUUUCGGACAUUAACAACUGUAGGAUUCUAAUUGUAAACAAAACAAAAAAAAACUAUGUUAACCAAUCGAGUGUAUUAGUCAGAAACCAGAAUCCUCUUCUCAAGCGUAUUAUUUUUGCAGACAGUGCGAACUCUGUGUGCCACACUUGUUUUCCUUCGCCCACGGUGUGGGUUGUAUGCGUGUACAAAUGCUUAAAGCACCUCGAUGUAGUAUCGUGGUCAAUCAGUUGUACGGAGUUGUAUGAGGUACCGAAUGAUGACAGUACGAUAUGAACGGUAAGUUGAAGCUAUGGAACGUAUGCAAUUAACAGUAUUCACGUGAACACUGCUGCUGUGUUUGACUCCAAUCCGUGGAGUCUGGCGCCGAUUGUAGGUACCUAACUAGGCGUGGGAAUGAGGAUAAAUAAAAACAAAAAGCAUUCACCGUUUCCUGAGCAGAACCAGAAGCUGCCAUCGACGAUUUUGUACCGUCAAAUAUAGAUGCAAUUCAUUCGCAUAUAAGCAGCCCACCAACCUGGCUAAUCACAGUUUCAUUAAUUGCUCUUGAAUCUUUCUUUCUUUUUUUCCAUUCUUUAUUAUUUUUCUCGCACGAAAUCUGUUACCUCUUCGUAAACAACAAUCGUGUGCGGGUCCUGCGCCGCUCUUCGUCAAACCGACAUUUCUCUGGCGUCAAUUCUACAAAACCGUUCCUGAUCAAUUUCUACGCGUGAAUGCUUGCUUGAAAUCCUUGAAUAAAAUUCUAAUACAAAUCGCACCUCAAACCCCAAAAACCGAAUAUGAUAUGUAUGUUUAUGUGUGCCCGCUAGGAUGACGGUUCACCGCCAAACUAUAAGGGAUCUAACGGCGAAAGAAGAGACCGGGAUGGAGGUCGCAGCAAAUCCUCCAGACAUCGUAGUCGUUCACGGGAGCGAGAUCGUGACGGAGGUAAGAGCCGCAAAGAACGGUCACGUUCCCGGGAGAGACGUGACAAAGACAAAGGUAGAGAUAAGGAACGUGAC